This 503-nucleotide ribosomal RNA is filed under the name uncultured bacterium. RNAcentral describes it as "partial 16S ribosomal RNA". It matches the Rfam family "Bacterial small subunit ribosomal RNA", at positions 30 to 523 of the family's 1533-position model. The record is from RNAcentral.
AUUGAACGCUGGCGGCAGGCUUAACACAUGCAAGUCGAGCGGGGUGAUGGUGCUUGCACUAUCACUUAGCGGCGGACGGGUGAGUAAUGCUUAGGAAUCUGCCUAUUAGUGGGGGACAACAUCUCGAAAGGGAUGCUAAUACCGCAUACGUCCUACGGGAGAAAGCAGGGGAUCACUUGUGACCUUGCGCUAAUAGAUGAGCCUAAGUCGGAUUAGCUAGUUGGUGGGGGAAAGGCCUACCAAGGCGACGAUCUGUAGCGGGUCUGAGAGGAUGAUCCGCCACACUGGGACUGAGACACGGCCCAGACUCCUACGGGAGGCAGCAGUGGGGAAUAUUGGACAAUGGGGGGAGCCCUGAUCCAGCCAUGCCGCGUGUGUGAAGAAGGCCUUAUGGUUGUAAAGCACUUUAAGCGAGGAGGAGGCUCUUUUGGUUAAUACCCAAGAUGAGUGGACGUUACUCGCAGAAUAAGCACCGGCUAACUCUGUGCCAGCCGCCGCAGUAA